Molecule: long non-coding RNA, 3012 nt
Organism: Malaclemys terrapin pileata
Lineage: Eukaryota; Metazoa; Chordata; Testudines; Emydidae
Exons: 2
Source: RefSeq, a predicted model, not a curated record
CCCAGCAAUAGGUGGCUGAGGAGAGCAGAUCCACGUGGCAGAUGCCCCCUCCUCAUGUAUGUUCUGCUCCUGCUGCCGAUGGCUGUGUGAUCCUGGUUGUCUCUUAGUGUCUCGGGGUCACCCUCUGUAAAGUGGGGUCACUGGCACUCUCCUGCCUUCGUAAAGCACUUUGAGUUCGGGGGUGGAACGUAUGGGUAGAAGAGCGAAUGAGCAGAGCCCCGUAAACCCACAGAUGUCCGCUUUAUUUGACUAACACGGCUGUUACUCUGAAACCUUCUUUGGAAACACCCUCUUUGCAGCAUUGGGACAACACUCAAAAGAAAGCAGCACAAAGGACCAAUGGACACAGACACAGAGUUUGAAUCUGGUAUAGAUUUGCAUAAGAGGAAAGCUGCUAUAAAAGUGAGGUGUCUUGCAGAGGACCCCGGGUCUCGUCUUGUCAACAUGGGAGCAUCGAUCCGGAUCGGCAGAAGCCCGACUCCACCCCCUCCCCCAUCUAACUCACCUGGCCAGUGAAGUUAAGGGGAGCAACUAAUUGGUAACAACAAGACGGAGUGUGUUUGUGUGUGUGUGUGUGAGUGUAAGUGUAAUAUAUUAUAUGCAUAUAAUACAGUGUUAAUGAAUACAUGUAUUACUAAUAAAUGUGGCGUUUUGUCUUAUUCCCCCUGAAAAGAUCCUGUGCAGUACUUUAAGUACAACAUUUUGGUGGAGAAUGCGAAAGGGGGAGCAAGCAUAGAACCCACAGUUAUUAUAAAACUGGUGUGCACACCGCCAGCUUUAGCAAGCCUGGCACUAUAGGAAAAAGAGCGUAAACUUUCAGUUAAAAGAAGAACAGGAGUACUUGUGGCACCUUAGAGACUAACAAAUUUAUUAGAGCAUAAGCUUUCGUGGACUACAGCCCACUUCUUCGGAUGCAUAAUUAACCAAACUCUGAAGGAUAUAGGAGUUUAGGUUUAAAUUGUGUUAUAGAGGUACAUACACCCUUAGCCGUAGCAAGACUGAGCUAAAGAGGAAAACUUAGUGUUUCUCACUCUGAUCCGGGGAAGGAUCUAAUCCGGGGAAGGAUUUGUAUAAUUGGUGUAUAAACCCUCGGUGGUAGCAGACCGAGUAAUACAGAGGGAGGCUUAGCGUCUCUCCCUCUGGCCCAGAGUGGGUUAAAAACAUAAGAUGCAGAUCUUGUUCUGUUAAACCAAACUCUGAAGGAUAUAGGAGUUUGGGCAGUGUAGUGUAAUGUAUGUUUGUUUGUUUUGUUUUUUUUGUAAGUAAUAUUGUGGUAAUUUCACAAUUUUGCAGAAAAUGUUUAAGAAACAGAACCAGGAAGGGUGGGGGCUAGUUGGAAAGCCCACCCUCCUUGCUAAAUUGGUAGUAAAACAAGGCUUGUGCCCAUGGAAAAAAACUGUUUAUUGAAAAAAGCAGAAUCGGGCCCAGGCAAGCAAUAGAUAAAGAAACUGAAAAACAGGUUGGGUACAGAGAGUUAAAACAGCACUCUCAAAUCUUACAGCAGCAGUAACAUCAGGAGAAGAAACAUUUGAGACCCCAGAAGGGGGCAGACCUUUGGGACCCCUCUGGAGAUUGGGAAGGGGGAUAUUUGGGAUAUUUGGGUAAAUUCCUCCUCCCAGGGCCAAAAUGCCAUUAAAACAGUUAACAACAGUGCCUGCUUCUGCCUCAGAUCUCCAGGCCAUGGCAAAAUGGCUGGAGAUUUUAAAACAGAAUUUUUUUUCUAGAUGGAGUGUUAACGCCCUUUUACUGAAAGAAAGGGAGAAUUUACACUCACAAAAAAUGCACCACUUAAUUAGCAUUUGUGCAGCCCCAAGUACCAAACACACUGUGGCAGAGACCAAGCAGGUUCUGCCAGGGUGAAAGCACUGUGCUAAUUUGUUUCCAAGCUUCUAUCUUUCAGGCUCUGGACCAGAACAUCAGGAGAGCUGGUACUAGCUGAAGAGUUAUAAAAUUCCAUGGUUAUAGUGUCAUGACAAAGUCUGUGUUCAGUGUUCUGUGUUGCAUGUUCUGUGUCUGUCUCUAUUGGUGUCCUGUGCUAGCAUUGGGUCUAGAAAAAGGGGAUACUACACUAGACAGGGCAAAUGUCUUUUCCUUUCUCUACUUCCCCCAUCUCCAUCCAACUUAUCAAUCACCCCUUGUGUCCAAAAGACUUUGGUCCCCAGUGCAUCAGGGUUAUUUUGUUUUGUUUUGUUAGGUUCUCUAAUAAUCAUUUUGUUGUUAAUUUUUGUUCUUAAUACAUUUGUAUUGUUGGUUACAUUUGCUUGUAUUAUUAUUAAUUCCACACUUUCCUCUAUGCACUCUAGUUCUAUUUCCCCAAGCCCUGAAGGGUAGUUCUUGGGCCCCCAUAACCUGUAAGACCUUGGCCCAUAAUUGUAUGGCCCCAUCUUUCAGGUCCCCAGAAACCUCUAAAAACAACUGUUAAAAAUAGGGAAUUCUACAACAUUUUAGCAACUAAAUGUUAGUUUAAGUCCAAAUCAGCUUAACCUUGCAUAACAACUGUGGUACUCCUACAAAAUCUUAUUUGUUGUGUGUGCUUAAGAAGGUCCUGACCUCAGUGACUUUUAUUUUUUGAUGGCUAUUGCAGCAUCAAACUUGGGCCUCAUUUUGUUUGUCAAUGUACCCAAUUAUUGUAAUGGUAAUGGUUUUGUUGUAUUUCCAAUUACUAUAAUUAUAAUUGUUUGCAUUUGUGUUUAUGUUAUAUCUGGUGUUUAGUCAAUUGUAAUGGUUUUAGUUAUAUUCACCUGGUUAUAAUUGUUUUGUUUGCAACAAAUACAAAAGAUUUAUAUGGUGACCACUCAAGAAUUGUUCUUGAGAGGUCAAAAGGGGGACAAUGGUAGAUAAAUCUCUGAUAAUUUUCAUAUGACUUUACAUUGUGCCUCUUCAUAUAACCUUGUGGUGGGUCUACCCACGUGUAACCUCUUGUUUUCAUGGGACUUUGUAUCAAAGCCUCAUUUAGAAACUUUGCAUUGCCCUUGGUAUAAUAUUAUAGCCCCUAAGGAUAGAAUAAGAUAG